RNAcentral lists this ribosomal RNA (382 nucleotides) under uncultured bacterium. RNAcentral describes it as "bacterial SSU rRNA". It matches the Rfam family "Bacterial small subunit ribosomal RNA", at positions 368 to 767 of the family's 1533-position model. The record is from RNAcentral.
ACAAUGGGCGAAAGCCUGAUCCAGCCAUGCCGCGUGAGUGAUGAAGGCCCUAGGGUUGUAAAGCUCUUUUGUGCGGGAAGAUACUGACGGUACCGCACGAAUAAGCCACGGCUAACUUCGUGCCAGCAGCCGCGGCAAUACGAAGGGGGCUAGCGUUGCUCGGAAUCACUGGGCGUAAAGGGUGCGUAGGCGGGUUUCUAAGUCAGAGGUGAAAGCCUGGAGCUCAGCUCCAGAACUGCCUUUGAUACUGGAAGUCUUGAGUUCGGGAGAGGUCGGUGGAACUGCGAGUGUAGAGGUGAAAUUCGUAGAUAUUCGCAAGAACACCAGGUGCGAAGGCUGCUCACUGGCCCGAUACUGACGCUGAGGCACGAAAGCGUGGGGA